This is a long non-coding RNA of Ictalurus punctatus (channel catfish), 602 nucleotides long. The record is from Ensembl. NCBI's taxonomy places the organism in Eukaryota, Metazoa, Chordata, Actinopteri, Siluriformes, Ictaluridae.
GCACAGGAAACCACACAACUGGAAACUGGAAACACAACUGGAUUUUAGCAGGUCUCAGAAUCCAAACAGCUGGAAACUACAGUAUUUUAGCAGGUCUUAGAAUCGAAGCAGCUGGACACUACUAGACUUGAACAGGUAACAGAAACCAUGCCGCUAGAAAUUGGCUGGACUUUAGAAGUUAACAGAGACCACACAUCUGAAAAUUACUGGAAUUGAGAGGGUACCAGAAACCACACAGCUGGAAAGUACUGGACCUGAGCAGUCAAAGAAUACACACAGCUAAAAUCUACUUGACUGGAAACUAUUGGACAGCUGGAAACUACUGGCCUUGAGCAGGUACCAGAAACCACACAACUGGAAACUACUGGAUUUGAGCAGGUACCAGAAACCACACAACUGGAAACUACUGGAUUUGAGCAGGUACCAGAAACCACACAACUGGAAACUUCUGGACUGAAACCACACAACUGGAAACUACUGGACUUGAGCAGGCAGUAGAAUCCACACAAACUGGAAACUACUGGACUUGAAACCACACAACUGGAAACUACUGGACUUGAGCAGGCAGUAGAAUCCACACAACUGGAAACUAAUGGACUUGA